UACGGAGGUUCCAAGCGUUGUUCGGAAUUACUGGGCGUAAAGGGGGCGCAGGCGGAUUGGUCAGUGGAAAGUGGAAGCCCGGGGCUCAACCUCGGAUGUGCUUUCCAUACUGCCAGUCUUGAGUACGUGAGAGGAGAGCGGAAUUCAGGGUGUAGCGGUGAAAUGCUUAGAUAUCCUGAGGAACACCGGUGGCGAAAGCGGCUCUCUGGCACGAUACUGACGCUGAGGCCCGAAAGCGUGGGGAGCGAACGGGG
Molecule: ribosomal RNA, 254 nt
Filed under: uncultured bacterium
Lineage: Bacteria
Description: partial 16S ribosomal RNA
Rfam family: Bacterial small subunit ribosomal RNA
Source: RNAcentral